RNAcentral lists this ribosomal RNA (253 nucleotides) under uncultured bacterium. Its description in RNAcentral is "partial 16S ribosomal RNA". It matches the Rfam family "Bacterial small subunit ribosomal RNA", at positions 524 to 776 of the family's 1533-position model. The record is from RNAcentral.
UACGAAGGGGGCUAGCGUUGCUCGGAUUGACUGGGCGUAAAGGGCGCGUAGGCGGUUCGUACAGUCAGACGUGAAAUUCCUGGGCUCAACCUGGGGGCUGCGUUUGAUACGUGCGGACUUGAGUGCGGAAGAGGGUCGUGGAAUUCCCAGUGUAGAGGUGAAAUUCGUAGAUAUUGGGAAGAACACCGGUGGCGAAGGCGGUUACCUGGAGCUUUGCUGACGCUGAUGCGCGAAAGCGUGGGGAGCGAUCCGG